GCCUUCGUGGUGAAAUGGAUAUCACAACGGUCUUCGGAACCGUUAUUGCAGGUUCGAAUCCUGCCGAGGGCACUA
RNAcentral lists this transfer RNA (75 nucleotides) under Candidatus Taylorbacteria bacterium RIFCSPHIGHO2_02_FULL_44_12. Its description in RNAcentral is "tRNA-Arg". It matches the Rfam family "tRNA". From Rfam's summary of the family: Transfer RNA (tRNA) molecules are approximately 80 nucleotides in length. Their secondary structure includes four short double-helical elements and three loops (D, anti-codon, and T loops). RNAcentral also lists the same sequence under 1 other name. Lineage: Bacteria; Candidatus Tayloriibacteriota. The record is from RNAcentral.